Molecule: ribosomal RNA, 471 nt
Filed under: uncultured bacterium
Lineage: Bacteria
Description: partial 16S ribosomal RNA
Rfam family: Bacterial small subunit ribosomal RNA
Source: RNAcentral
GACGAACGCUGGCGGCGUGCUUAACACAUGCAAGUCGAACGCUGAAGCUUGGUGCUUGCACUGGGUGGAUGAGUGGCGAACGGGUGAGUAAUACGUGAGUAACCUGCCCUUGACUCUGGGAUAAGCCUGGGAAACUGGGUCUAAUACUGGAUAUGACAUGCCACUGCAUGGUGGUGUGUGGAAAGGGUUUUACUGGUUUUGGAUGGGCUCACGGCCUAUCAGCUUGUUGGUGGGGUAAUGGCCUACCAAGGCGACGACGGGUAGCCGGCCUGAGAGGGUGACCGGCCAAGCGGGAGCUGGAGCAGGGCCCAGGCCCCUACGGGGGGCAGCAGGGGGAAAUUUUGCACAAUGGGCGGAAGCCUAAUGAACCGACCCCGGGUGGGGGAGAAGGCCCUUCGGUUGAUAACCCUCUUUCACGACGAAAGAGGGGGGAGUGGGGGUACGUGCAAAGGAACCCCCGCCAAACUGCGG